AUGUCUUGUAUAUAAAUAAUGUAUAUGUAUGUGGAGCUGUACUCACGCUUCUCGUCUGCCAUCUUUUUAAUAGUAACAGUUUGUGUGACCUAAAAUCCUUGUUGGGAUAUGGUUAAUAGUUCCCUGGGUGAAACUCCUGGGGUUUCGUAGUCAGACCUCCAGUAGAAGAUAUUUGGAUUGAGGUAUAGAAUUUGGUUAAUUGCCAUUUCGUUUCUUUCAUCUCAUCUUUUCACCUAUACUGCCACACUGAGAUCAGAGCAAUUGCUGAUCGAAUAAGGAUUUCACUCAAACACAUUAGAGUUUGGUAGUGAUUUCUCAUUUUACUGGUGAAUUUACACUAUACUGUCUUCACCCUUCAUAAGCAUUUAUUUACAUGGGAUAAGGAUUGGUUAACGUUUAUAAUUAAAAUACUUAUAAUGACAUUACAGCUGUAUUUCACUUUCUAAAUACUACAAAAGUGAAUUGGUUCAGUUUGCUUUUACUUCAUAACUGCAGUAGCAUUUCCAGAAAAUCACCUGACAGUUAUAGUGGGAGUGAUUUGUGAUGUAACCUGUUUAUAUCCAGAUAAAAGUACGGUUGCUGUACAAGAGGACUGUUGAUGUGUUUAGAUCCCUAUCUAAAACCUGACACAUUAUGACACUGAAAAGGAGCUUAUGAAUUUCUAAAACAAAUAAGGUUUCAGCAACAAGAGCUGCGUUCUAUUUCCAGCUAGAAACACCAUGGCAGAGUGCCAGUAUUCUUCUCUUGAGAAUGAAGACUCAGUGGAAGAACAACUAAAUAAAAUCAAAAGAGAGAGCAGAUCAAUAGAAGGAUUCAUCACCAGAUAUAUUCUAAACACCAGGACUGUAACUGAUGAUGAAAGACUGAAGAGAGUGGCAUUUGGGGUAAAACAGAGCAAAUCCCAUAAAACCAUAUUAAUAGUUGGAGAAACAGGAACAGGAAAGUCGACUCUCAUCAAUGCCAUGGUCACCUGCAUGCUUGGUGUUGAGAGUAAAGACAGAAUGUGGUUUGAGAUCAUAGAGACAGAAGACGACCAAACUGUUUCUCAGACUCACGCAGUCACAGUGUAUGACGUGUUUACUAAACACUGCUCGCUCUCUCUGACCAUCA
Molecule: long non-coding RNA, 1110 nt
Organism: Tachysurus fulvidraco (yellow catfish)
Lineage: Eukaryota; Metazoa; Chordata; Actinopteri; Siluriformes; Bagridae
Exons: 3
Source: RefSeq, a predicted model, not a curated record